AUAUCAAUAAGCGGAGGAAAAGAAACCAACAGGGAUUGCCCUAGUAACGGCGAGUGAAGCGGCAACAGCUCAAAUUUGAAAUCUGGCUCUUUCAGGGUCCGAGUUGUAAUUUGCAGAGGGCGCUUUGGUGUUGGCAGCGGUCCAAGUUCUUUGGAACAGGACGUCACAGAGGGUGAGAAUCCCGUACGUGGUCGCUAGCCCUCACCGUGUAAAGCCCCUUCGACGAGUCGAGUUGUUUGGGAAUGCAGCUCUAAAUGGGAGGUAAAUUUCUUCUAAAGCUAAAUACUGGCCAGAGACCGAUAGCGCACAAGUAGAGUGAUCGAAAGAUGAAAAGCACUUUGGAAAGAGAGUCAAAUAGCACGUGAAAUUGUUGAAAGGGAAGCGCUUGCAGCCAGACUUGCCUGUAGUUGCUUAUCUAGACUUUUGUCUAGUGCACUCUUCUAUAGGCAGGCCAGCAUCAGUUUGGGCGGUUGGAUAAAGGUCUCUGUCAUGUACCUCCUUUCGGGGAGGCCUUAUAGGGGAGACGACAUGCAACCAGCCUGGACUGAGGUCCGCGCAUCUGCUAGGAUGCUGGCGUAAUGGCUGUAAGCGGCCCGUCUUGAAACACGGACCAAGGAGUCUAACAUCUAUGCGAGUGUUGGGG
RNAcentral lists this ribosomal RNA (643 nucleotides) under Setophoma chromolaenae. RNAcentral's name for it is "LSU rRNA". It matches the Rfam family "Eukaryotic large subunit ribosomal RNA", at positions 40 to 698 of the family's 3401-position model. Lineage: Eukaryota; Fungi; Ascomycota; Dothideomycetes; Pleosporales; Phaeosphaeriaceae. The record is from RNAcentral.